CAGCAGCCGCGGGAAUACGUAGGUCCCGAGCGUUGCCCAGAUUUAUUGGGCGUAAAGCGAGCGCAGGCGGUUAGAUAAGUCUGAAGUUAAAGGCUGUGGCUUAACCAUAGUACGCUUUGGAAACUGUUUAACUUGAGUGCAAGAGGGGAGAGUGGAAUUCCAUGCGUAGCGGUGAAAUGCGUAGAUAUAUGGAGGAACACCGGUGGCGAAAGCGGCUCUCUGGUCUGUCACUGACGCUGAGGCGCGAAAGCGUGGGGAGCAAACAGGAUUAGAUACCCCUGUAGUCCCUGUCUCUUAUACC
This 301-nucleotide ribosomal RNA is filed under the name uncultured bacterium. RNAcentral describes it as "partial 16S ribosomal RNA". It matches the Rfam family "Bacterial small subunit ribosomal RNA", at positions 509 to 808 of the family's 1533-position model. The record is from RNAcentral.